UGUCUGGGAAACUGCCUGAUGGAGGGGGAUAACUACUGGAAACGGUAGCUAAUACCGCAUAAUGUCGCAAGACCAAAGAGGGGGACCUUCGGGCCUCUUGCCAUCGGAUGUGCCCAGAUGGGAUUAGCUAGUAGGUGGGGUAACGGCUCACCUAGGCGACGAUCCCUAGCUGGUCUGAGAGGAUGACCAGCCACACUGGAACUGAGACACGGUCCAGACUCCUACGGGAGGCAGCAGUGGGGAAUAUUGCACAAUGGGCGCAAGCCUGAUGCAGCCAUGCCGCGUGUAUGAAGAAGGCCUUCGGGUUGUAAAGUACUUUCAGCGGGGAGGAAGGGAGUAAAGUUAAUACCUUUGCUCAUUGACGUUACCCGCAGAAGAAGCACCGGCUAACUCCGUGCCAGCAGCCGCGGUAAUACGGAGGGUGCAAGCGUUAAUCGGAAUUACUGGGCGUAAAGCGCACGCAGGCGGUUUGUUAAGUCAGAUGUGAAUCCCCGGGCUCAACCUGGGAACUGCAUCUGAUACUGGCAAGCUUGAGUCUCGUAGAGGGGGGUAGAAUUCCAGGUGUAGCGGUGAAAUGCGUAGAGAUCUGGAGGAAUACCGGUGGCGAAGGCG
RNAcentral lists this ribosomal RNA (612 nucleotides) under uncultured Pseudomonadota bacterium. RNAcentral's name for it is "bacterial SSU rRNA". It matches the Rfam family "Bacterial small subunit ribosomal RNA", at positions 114 to 723 of the family's 1533-position model. The record is from RNAcentral. Lineage: Bacteria; Pseudomonadati; Pseudomonadota.